UCAGAGGGCCCUUUACCCUCCCCGACCCAUUCCUAGGCCACUGGGGCAGCUCCCUGGGCCCACCUCUCUGCCAGUCCUAGCCCAGGCUGCCCAGGCAGGAGCUCCCAGCCUGCUGGGGGCUGACCCCCGGCCCACUGACCCCAGCCCUGGCCCCAGCAGGCAGGCGGGCAUUGCUCAACCUUCGGUGUUAUCUGCUGAGCUGGGGUGACCUCUGCCCUCAAGAGCUGGAGAAAUAACAUUUCUGGGCACCCUUGGUGGGUAGGAGGCAGGGAGGGAGGAGAUAGAAAGCUGGCCCAGCCUGCUGGCUUUCUGGGCCUUCCCAGCAACCUCUGAGCUGGGGAGGGAUCAGGCCCCAGAGGGGUGCAGCAGGUUCCCCAGGGCCACCCAGCCAGGCCUUCCUCACUGCAAAAUGGGACACUCAGGGCUGAGCUAGAGGCCACAGCUUCCCAGAGGCCCUCUCUGUCCCACCUGCUGGCAAAUGUCCUUCCCUGUCACCAGCCUCCGUUAUCCUAGUUGUCUAUCUUAGCCUCCCUACAGACUGCCACUCGGGGAGGGCUGUCCCACGAGGGACUCCUGGGGCAGCACACUCAACAUGGACCCGUGAAUGAAUGCAUUUGCUGUUCCCUGUGCACCAAGAACACUGUCACCCCCCCCCCGCCCAAGGCAACGCCUCAGGUCUCAGCCCAAAGGCUGCCUCCUCCAGGAAACAGCCCCCCUCCAAUCUCCCCAUGGGAAGUCCAGCCCCUCAGUCGCUCCUCACACACUCCCUGCUGUCACCAUUCUUACUGUGAUCAGAAUUAUCUCAUCUGCCCAUCUUGCUGUCUGUCCCCAUGGCCUUCACUACUGUGUCCCCGGUGCCUAGAACAGAGCAUGGUACACAGAGGGUGCUCAAUGAAUGAAUAAUGGAGGAGGCUGAGAGGAAGGAGAGGUUCCUCGUUAGCUGGCUGUGUGACCUUAGGCAAAAUGGCUUCCCUCUCUGAGCCACAGCACUCGCCCACAUCCUCCCUUCUGGAUUCUGAAGAGACGCAAUGAGAUUUGGGGGACUGAAGGUAAUUGGAAGAUUUGCUGUGUGUCCUCAGGCCAACCUUCCACCCUCUCUGAACUACAUUCCAAGCUCUUUAUGAGGACACUGAGGCCCAGAAGAACUAGCCCAGAAGAACUACGUGUGUCUGCCUCAGGUCACACGGAAAGAUGAGAAGGAACAAAAUCUGCCCAGCCCGACUUUCCCCCUUGGGUUUGUCAUAACAGGCCUGGCAAUGCCCCGCCUGCUGCUUCCCUACCCCCACCCCAGUCCUGUUCAGCCUUUCCUCAAGGAGGAGGAUGGUGGGAACUUGAGGGCCACCAUCCCGGAGGCCCAGAGCAUCUUUUCCCUAGCCCAUUUUCAAGAGGGGAAAAACUGAGGCAGUUCGCCAAGGGGAGACCCACAGUGGCUGCUUUGACGGAGAGUGCUUUGCUGAGGGGCUUAGAAACCAGACAGCAGCGGCCAGGCACGGUGGCUCAUGCCUGUAAUCCCAACACUUUGGGAGGCCCAAGGUCAGGCGUUCGAGACCAGCCUG
Long non-coding RNA from Cebus imitator (Panamanian white-faced capuchin), 1556 nucleotides. RefSeq lists it as uncharacterized. Lineage: Eukaryota; Metazoa; Chordata; Mammalia; Primates; Cebidae. The record is from RefSeq and is a predicted model, not a curated record. The transcript has 4 exons.